This 454-nucleotide ribosomal RNA is filed under the name Escherichia coli. RNAcentral describes it as "bacterial SSU rRNA". It matches the Rfam family "Bacterial small subunit ribosomal RNA", at positions 199 to 648 of the family's 1533-position model. The record is from RNAcentral. Lineage: Bacteria; Pseudomonadati; Pseudomonadota; Gammaproteobacteria; Enterobacterales; Enterobacteriaceae.
ACCUUCGGGCCUCUUGCCAUCGGAUGUGCCCAGAUGGGAUUAGCUAGUAGGUGGGGUAACGGCUCACCUAGGCGACGAUCCCUAGCUGGUCUGAGAGGAUGACCAGCCACACUGGAACUGAGACACGGUCCAGACUCCUACGGGAGGCAGCAGUGGGGAAUAUUGCACAAUGGGCGCAAGCCUGAUGCAGCCAUGCCGCGUGUAUGAAGAAGGCCUUCGGGUUGUAAAGUACUUUCAGCGGGGAGGAAGGGAGUAAAGUUAAUACCUUUGCUCAUUGACGUUACCCGCAGAAGAAGCACCGGCUAACUCCGUGCCAGCAGCCGCGGUAAUACGGAGGGUGCAAGCGUUAAUCGGAAUUACUGGGCGUAAAGCGCACGCAGGCGGUUUGUUAAGUCAGAUGUGAAAUCCCCGGGCUCAACCUGGGAACUGCAUCUGAUACUGGCAAGCUUGAGUC